GGAUGCGAGGGUGAUGUGGCUGCGACAUCUGUCAUCCCAUUGAUCACCAGGUUUGAUUUGGCUGAUCUGGCUGUUUAGGCAGGUGUCUCCUUCCUCCCUCACCACUCCAUGUGUGUCCCUUCCCAAGCUAUCCACUGGGUCAAAGAGGAAGAAGGCCUCCUCAAAUAGAGAUGGACCAGUCAGUCUUCAUUCUUUGCUGCCCUGCUGGAACCUCCAAACAAGCUCUCAGGGACAUAUGCAGGAUAUAAGUAGAUGACAGGACUUACAUAAGAUCAUAGAACAACCCUA
This 288-nucleotide small nuclear RNA is filed under the name Erinaceus europaeus (western European hedgehog). RNAcentral's name for it is "7SK RNA". It matches the Rfam family "7SK RNA". From Rfam's summary of the family: 7SK was discovered as an abundant small nuclear RNA in the mid-70s but a possible function has only recently been suggested. The record is from Rfam by way of RNAcentral. Lineage: Eukaryota; Metazoa; Chordata; Mammalia; Eulipotyphla; Erinaceidae.